Molecule: long non-coding RNA, 258 nt
Filed under: Lathyrus oleraceus (garden pea)
Lineage: Eukaryota; Viridiplantae; Streptophyta; Magnoliopsida; Fabales; Fabaceae
Description: Pisum sativum (pea) long non-coding RNA (PSAT_LNC030073)
Source: RNAcentral
AUAAAAAGUAGAUAAGUGCAGAAAAAUGAGAAAAGUACGAAACUUCAAAGAAAAAAAAAAGAGAAAUGAAAAAAAUAUUAUGAGAAGUAUGAUGAAGCACUUAUCUAGAAGAAUUGAGGUUGGCAAAAAGCAUGCUCAAAAGAGCAAUAAAAAAAAGAGCCAAUGAAUUCCUACAUGAACGAUGCCCAAUAGGAAUACCCCCUGAUUAAAAGAUUGACCAUAGUUAUGAGGGUAGCAACAUGGAUUCUGAGCCUGAAC